Molecule: ribosomal RNA, 253 nt
Filed under: uncultured bacterium
Lineage: Bacteria
Description: partial 16S ribosomal RNA
Rfam family: Bacterial small subunit ribosomal RNA
Source: RNAcentral
UACGAAGGGUGCAAGCGUUCAUCGGAAUUACUGGGCGUAAAGCGCGCGUAGGUGGUUCAGUAAGUUGGAAGUGAAAUCCCCGGGCUCAACCUGGGAACUGCUUUCAAAACUGCUGAGCUAGAGUACGGUAGAGGGUGGUGGAAUUUCCUGUGUAGCGGUGAAAUGCGUAGAUAUAGGAAGGAACACCAGUGGCGAAGGCGACCACCUGGACUGAUACUGACACUGAGGUGCGAAAGCGUGGGGAGCAAACAGG